AGUCUCUAGUCUCUAUUUGAGACAUUUUGUGAAUAACAAAAUCGUCUCAAGUCUCAAACAUCGUCUCUGUCAACAGUAGUAUCACUGUACAGAAUCGCACGGAUAAUCCAAAAGCUGGAUGCCAUUGAGACACAGGUAGCAAAACUCAUAAUUGGUGUUGAUGCCAUUGAAAAGGCCCUAAAAGACAAGACGCAAAGACGUUAAAGACGCACCAUUCAAUUAGGCGCAUCACCGACGAGCGCUGUGGAGCUGGCUUCGAAAUUGCCCUUGUGAUUGGAAGAGCACGUGUGCAUCGUGGAAGACAAACUUUCACAAAAGGAAUGCACGGAUGCUAUAAUGCGGUUAAUAUUGAUGGCAAGGGGCGCAAAGAUAAGGAAUCGCUACUAAAGCUUAAGUGUGUAGGAUUAGUUUUUUUUACUGAUAUAAAGUGGUACCUCGACAUUCGAAUUUAAUUCGUUCCGCAACCUUGCUUGUAUCUUGAAUUACUCGUAUGUCGAAGCAAAUUUCCCCAUACAAAACAUUUGAAUUAACAUUACUCCUUUCCAACCUCCAAAAUGUCACCCAAGUUAUUUUCGUUACGUGGUUUUGAAUAAUAAAAACGUAU
Molecule: long non-coding RNA, 604 nt
Organism: Bactrocera latifrons
Lineage: Eukaryota; Metazoa; Arthropoda; Insecta; Diptera; Tephritidae
Exons: 4
Source: RefSeq, a predicted model, not a curated record